This 468-nucleotide ribosomal RNA is filed under the name uncultured bacterium. RNAcentral's name for it is "partial 16S ribosomal RNA". It matches the Rfam family "Bacterial small subunit ribosomal RNA", at positions 28 to 507 of the family's 1533-position model. The record is from RNAcentral.
GACGAACGCUGGCGGCGUGCUUAACACAUGCAAGUCGAACGGCAAGGCCCUGCUUUUGUGGGGUGCUCGAUUGGCGAACGCGUGAGUAACACGUGAGUAACCUGCCCUUGACUUUCGGAUAACUUCAGGAAACUGGGGCUAAUACCGGAUAGGAGCUCCUGCUGCAUGGUGGGGGUUGGAAAGUUUCGGCGGUUGGGGAUGGACUAGCGGCUUAUCAGCUUGUUGGUGGGGUAGUGGCUUACCAAGGCUUUGACGGGUAGCCGGCCUGAGAGGGUGACCGGCCACCUUGGGACUAAGAUACGGCGCAGACUGCUACGGGAGGCAGUGGGCGGGAAUAUUGCACAAUGGGCGGAAGCCUGAGGAAGCAGCGCCGCGGGCGUGAAGACGGCCUGUGGGGUAUAAACAGCUUUCGGCUGUGACGAAGCGUGAGUGACGGUAAUGGGUAAAGAAGCACCGGCUAACUACGUG